This 208-nucleotide ribosomal RNA is filed under the name uncultured bacterium. Its description in RNAcentral is "partial 16S ribosomal RNA". It matches the Rfam family "Bacterial small subunit ribosomal RNA", at positions 568 to 774 of the family's 1533-position model. The record is from RNAcentral.
CGCGUAGGUGGGCAAGUAAGUCUGAUGUGAAAUCUUCACCGCUCAACGGGAAGGAGCCAUUGGAUACUGCUUGUCUUGAGGUUGCUAGAGGGAAACGGAACUCCGGGUGUAGCGGUGGAAUGCGUAGAUAUCCGGAAGAACACCGAUUGCGAAGGCGGUUUCCUGGGGCACACCUGACACUGAGGCGCGAAAGCCAGGGGAGCGAACG